This 5860-nucleotide long non-coding RNA is filed under the name Homo sapiens (human). RNAcentral describes it as "HSALNT0385799". Lineage: Eukaryota; Metazoa; Chordata; Mammalia; Primates; Hominidae. The record is from RNAcentral.
GGACUCGGUGCGGAGCCGGGGCGCCGAGUGUCUCCGUGUCCCUCUGCCCCAGCCGGCGGCCGCGAUGGUGGAGCUUGGCCUCUCGCUCUCUCCCGCCUCUCCAGCGACUGCUCUGCCGGCCGCGGAGGUCGGAUCGAGCGGUCAUUCAUUCAUUUGUUAAUUCGUUCACUUAUUCAGGGGAGAUCAUUGAACCCCUACGGAGUACCGGGUACUGGGCCGGGCGCUGAGGACGCGGGGCUGAGCAAAAGCAGCCGAGGCCCACCUUCGUGCCCCUUAAAACCCAGCGUGCGGGGCGGCAACGAGUACUGCUUUUCUGUUUUGCACUUAAAAUUUACAUUUUGCAUCCGUACUUUUUAUUUACUGUGCACCCUUACGGCAUGCUUUACGCACCCGUACCUGCACCUCCUAGCCUUGAGUGUAGACACCAGAUCCUGAGAUGGGCGAUUUUUCGAGAAUAAUUUUUACCCUAAGUGGAUUUUCGUGCCACGCAUGGACUUGGAACUACACACACGUAGUCCAAAACGUGAAAGUCAAAAUGCAGCUUUGCCAAGUGGCAGGGAGAAAGGAGAGCUGAGAAGAUGAGGAGAGGAAGGGCGCGCUCCAGGCUUUCCAGCCCGGGUGCGGUAGACGUAGCCCUGAAGGAUGAACCCAGGCUGGUAGUAGGGCGGCGGGAGGGCGGGGGGACCUGUCAGUCAAGUCCAAAGCAGAAACGCGGCGCCGGAUCCCAGUCAGAGGCCGGCUGGAACGCUUCCCACAGGCUCCUGGCGCUCCGGUCCCCACCAGGCGACCUUGAUCCUGGCGUGCUCAGCGGAGCCAGCGCAGCGUCGGGAGCUGGAGAGACGCGGGGCGCCGGCUGAGCGCUCCUGCCCUCUGCCUCUGGGCUAGCCUCUGGCCCGGCCUCCCGGCCUCCCCCAGGGUACGCUCUCCCCCAAGAGCGAACACCAGCUUUGGGAUCGCCAGCAGCCACGUCUCUGCUUCUAGAUCUCUUUUUUUUUUCUUUGAGACUUAGUUGAUAGCUGUUUAAGGAAUUAUGUGGAGGAAAUCUCACCUCCGACCCCCGCCCCCGUUGAGCACGGCCGGCCAGGGUCGCUGGGUGGGCCAGGAGGAAAGAAAGGGGCGGGGAAGAAGCAGCAAUUUUACUUUAAAUUAAAAUGACACAAAAAUAUUUUUUCAACUCAGAUCUUUCUGAGACAUCCCCAGAAAGCGUUGCAAGCUGUGAUUACACCUAAUGUGAGAGCAUGAACUAAUUUAAGAGGUGAGAGCUGCAUAAUGAGGCUGCCUCCCGUGUAGCAGCCAAGACUGGCAGCUCUGGCGGCGCGCUGGAGGGGACCGGGAGGGGCACCCUUGUAGAACCAGUCCCUGGCGCCCUGGGAUCUUCUCAGUGCCCUGGCGCUGUGUUGUCGGUCACUCCACAGAUAUUACAGGGUGCCUCCUGAAUGCCGGGUUGCAAUCAAGAGCAAGAGAUGGGGCGAGUGAAAGAGCCUGUUUUCAGGAGCUCAGCAUCAGGAUGACGAUUACCUAGAGGGAGGUGGUGGCCAGCCUCCCCCUCUUCUCUUCAUGCUGAGGCUCUGGUGGGCAGUGCCCAAGCCUGAACUGCCAUCUGUAUGCCAGUGGUUACCCAACUUGUAUUUUCAGUCUUAGCCUCUCUCUGGUCCAGACUUGUCAUUCUAAGGGCCCUUUUUCACUGACUCACAUUGUCUCCUCCCUCCCUGCCUUCCAAACUCAGCCUUUUCCUUUUUCCCUUUCCCACUGACAACAGCUGCACGACCCCCCCGCCCCCCCACGAGGUGAAAAUUCCCAAGAACCCCAUGUCUAACCUAACUCCCUCUCUAUGUCCUGUUGCUUGAGCCAUUCUCAUUAGGCUGCCUGUUCGGAGUUCAUUAUCUCCUAAUUUUUCAUCCAGGAAUUGAUGAAGAAUCACCUACUGCCUCUCCCACACACUGUUUAUUCUUUCAUUUGAUGAUAUCUGUUAAGUGCCCUGAGAUAUGUAACCUCCACUUCCCUCCCAUAUAAGUGAGAUUUCACGUUGAUUACUUCCUUGGCUUUCCUCAUCCCUUAUCCACAUAGCAUGUGUUCAAAAUAAUGAAUAUUAAUUUAAUGUUAAUAGAUAUGUGCUUUCCUGAAUUGUGAGGAUUAAAUGAAAUCAUGUAUAUAGGGAGGAAAAUCCAUUAGAAACCUCAAAAGCAGUUAUGUUUAUUUUUGCUAUUGUCACAUUGUUAGAGUCAGAAUUCUUUUAGCUGCAAGUGACAAAACCAACUCAAACUGGCUUAAGGACUUUAUUGGUUGAUGCAAAAAGCCUCGGGUUAGGUCUUGCCAUUUAAGGUAGGGCUGGAUCCAUCAAUCCGGGUUACCAGGAUCUGUUUUCUAGUUGUGGCUUCAUUUUCAGACAAGUUGUUUCCAUAUGAUAGCCUCAUAGAAGGUACUACCAGCUUAGUCCUAGCAAGAAAAAAGAGUACUUACUCUUCAAUAUUUGCAGCAGAAGUCCCAGGUCUGUUCUUAUGAGGGCAGUUUGAGUCACUUGCUCUUCUCUGAACGUGGAGAAGGCACUGUUUAGAUGAUGGAGGUUGGAUUCAGGUGCAUCCCCUGGAAUGGGGUUUGGCAUUAGCUUCACGUGGUCUAGAAUAAAGGGGUUCUCCAAAGGAAAAUUAGGGUAGGAAUGCUGAGUAAGCAGAACAAACAGAUGUCUACUUUAGUCCUUCCCAAAGGGUGAGCUGCAAUACAUUGCAGACUAUCAGAAUGGUGAUGAACACGGAUGCAGUAGCCAAGAAAAUAGAUGUGUGUUUGUCGUGGUCUUUUUCAGUCUUCAAGAUCUCAGUUAAACAUGAAGUCAACCACUCACUAUGAUGUUAUUUGAGGUUUAGCUUUGAAGUGGAAAUGUACCACAAAUAGUAGAGCCAGAUAAAUACAAAUAAAUAAUUUUAACAGUCCAUUCUAAAAGAUUUCUUUGGUAAUAUUCUGUUGGAAUUGAUUUCUAUCUUUUCAUUUGUUAGGUUCCUGGAAAGUGAAAAUUUCAUUUCUUUGUGGACAGGUACCUAAAAUGUCUCAUUAUUCAUCAAUUAAUGAAAAACAAAUGAAAAUUUGAGAGAGAUAUUCUGAAGAAUAAAAGGAUCAAGUUGGGUCAUUUCUAAAAUGUAAGAUUAUAAGGUUUAACUUGCUAAGACUUUUGAGGGGUUGAAUUAUUGGUAAAUUAUUAUAGAACCACUUAUCUGAGGCUUUUAAAAGUGAUGUGUUACAGAGAUUUAGGGAACUGCAAGAUUGCAGAUAAAGAAUUUAUACUGUCAACUGUUCUAUACUUUACCUUCUGCUUUAAAUGCGGCCUUAUAUUUUGAAGUCAAACAUUUAUUUUCUCUCACUGCGUUCUGAAUUUCCUACCACAGUGCAUUUUGAGAAAUGAAUAUAACAGCAGUCUUCAUAGAUGCCAUAUUCAUGGCAACUCUGUCCCCCGCCAACACCACACCCUGGAAAAAAACCAACUUUCUAUUGUUGGAAUGAGGUAACAUUUUCAGGAAAAGGGAACCAUUUUCUCACAGGAUAUAGAACAAAUUCAACCUUUUAUUAAAUCAAAAUGGAUUCUCUAAUGUUUAUACAUAUCAUAUAGGAUUUCAUCUCUUUCAAUCUUGGUUCAAAGGCCCAGACAGUACCAUUCCCUAGUAUUUAGUCCAUUUGCUCAUAAAGCAGAAGAGAAAAGCUACUUUGUUCCGAAGGGUGUUAGAUUUAGGAUUCCAAGGUUAUUUCAAAUUAAUGCCUGGAACUAGACUAUAAAAUGCAGGAAAGAUUCUAAGUUGUUCAAAGAUGAAAUAUCUUAACUUUCACCAAAAACUCUGUCUUCUGGGUAUUUUUUGUUUUUCUGCCUUUCCAGAUUUAUUUUAAAUACAACAUUUUUGCUGUUUACAUUUUUAAAAGUUACAUUUCAAAAUUGUUCAUAAUUGGACACUUUCAUAAAAUGUAGGCAAAUGCAGUUUUACUUUUUAAUGAAGGACAAGUCUGUUGAUAACAUUUUGAUUCUUAAAAUUUUUUUUAUCUUAUAAAAAUGAAACAAUGCAUUUAAAGUGUCUUCAGCUCUUAUGUUAAUACCAAAUUAUACAUUUUCUUAGCCCAUGUUCAGGAGAGACAAUAUAUCUUCCAAAUUAAGAGAAGCUGGCACCAUUUUUAAAACAAGGCCUUGAAUCUGCUGUGGUAUGUGCUGGUAGGAAUUUUGUAUGAAGCUGUUAUUGAAGUAGAUGACAUUAAGGUCAAAGGAAAAAAAAAACAGAAAAUAAUGUAAUCCUACAGAGCUGCUCUUAAGAUCUUGAGAGAAAAACCACGUAGGUAACAUCAAACACUAGUUGGAAUCUUUCCAAGAAGUAAUUAUCUGUGUGCUGUUUGUGGUGGUUGAUUAUGGGAACAAACCAAGGUUUAGCCAAUUCAGCAAACAUUUAUGGAGUGCCUGCAAUGUGCAUGUCACUGUUUUAAGGCCUGUGCCUACUGUAAAGGUGACCCACACAUGAUGCCUGCCUUGCAGGACUUGGAGUUCAGCGAUAAUAAGAGAUGCAUACCUGAAAAGCCUAUUUAAGACUCUUCCGGUUCUACAAAGAAGGCUUCUUGAAAGUGGUAGCUUUGAUUACUCUUUGGAUUUAUUUACAUUUAUCCUAUAAUCAGAAGGUAUACAAAACAGACUCACACAUAUAUAAAAUUAAUAGAUUAGAUAGCAUUUAAACAAAUAUUUCAGGUAGGUACUUCAAAUGCAUUUGACAUUUAUCAAAGAAAUGGUAAGUGCUGUCAUCCGUGGGUGGCUGGAUUAACAUGUGGGACUACUUAUCACCAAUUUUGUUAGGGAUCUUAGGGAAAUUCCUGGAUCUUAUAUUCACAAGCAAUUGUAUAAAUACUUCCCACAGCUCAGAGACCUAAUAGGAUGGGGUCUUAGAGAAACAUCUUUUGAGCCACAGACUUCUUUGUUACCAGAAGGAAAAUGAAAGAAGAAAUUUAAAUACCACUUGAAGAGAGGUGAGAACCCUUUGUUAAGCUGUGUAACCUCUGUGCAUAGUUUCCUCAUCAGCAAAGUCAGAAAAAGUAUGUACCUGAAGGACUGAUUGUAAGGCUGGGAUGAGAGAAUCCAUGUGAUCAGCCCUCACCAACAGGUGCUGCCCAGUUCAUGAGUGCUGCUGCUGUCCUGCCCAAGUACCCAGCUUGCAGAGUGCCAGAGUUAGAGUCCCAGGGGUGUUCUCCACAGCUGCAUGCUUGAUCCAGGCCUAUCAGAUAUAUUCCAUUGAAAGUCCUCAUUCUCAAAUUUAAAACAAAGACUUUUUGUGUACCUCAAUAGCAAUGCACACACAGUUGGCUUCACAAACAUAUUGUACAUUUCUUUUUUUCAUAUUUAUUCAACAAAUGUAUAUUGACUACCCACCGUGUGACAGGUGUUAUUUGUUGACGGAACCAGGCAUCAUCAGCAAACAAAACUGACAAAGCUUCCUGCCCUCUGUGGAAGGCAUCUGAGGAAGAGACUGGAUUUUGUAGCAACAUGUUAUUCUCAUUAUAAACUUUAUCAUUGGAAUACUAAAGCCAAAUCAUCCCCCAUCUCCUUGAUCAGGAUACCCACUUAAUCUAGGCAGCUACACAAUUGUGAGAGCCUUUGUUUUUUUCUGCUGAAACAUCCUUAAAAAGAUACCUCACAACCCAAGAUUUGGCUUUUCUUAAAUACGAUUUUUAAUUUUUUUCAUUUCUAUCUAGAGAUUUAAUUGGAAAUGGAAAAUCAUCAAUUUUCCAAUUAAAUGUCUGUUCCAAUCAACAUUAUACCUUUUAGGUUGUCAUUGUCAUUUUUAAGUUUAAGCAACUUUAAGGAUUUUGAAUCUGGCUGCCUGUAAAUUAAAGGUGAAAGUAAUCA